CGCGGAGUAGUCGUCGUCGUUCUCCUCAACCUCGCUUGCGAAGGUACCGUUAUUAGCGGUCCGUUGGUUGUGUGUAUUAUUUCCUCCCGGUGUAGCGAUGCUCGUUGCAGCAAGUGCCGCCAGUUGCGUCGUAUUUCUGCCAGAGAAGUACUAAUGGUAGCAACAGAAUUCUGUAAAGAUGUUAGCUUGGUAUUUGUUUCAAUGUGCGCGCUCUCCAAGGUUCCAAGUCUCUCAUUCGCAACCCGAACGUCCUCAUCCAGUUCCUCGUUACGGAGCCUAAGCUUGCGAUCAAAAUGUGAAAUAAUGCCCUUUGUGCGUGGAGAGUGACCUUGUAGAUCAUCGUCAGAACCUGCCAUCGUUAGGAGAAAACAAGAAACAAAUCACAAGGAAAAGUCCCUAUGCACUACUAGGAUGUGGGGUUCCAAAGAUCACUCCACUCAACUUUUAAUCAAGUUCUUACUCGUUCUUACCCAGCAAAUAGGAAGGUGAUGGCCAGCGGCGAGAACAAGCCCUCCGAAGAUUAAUGUAUCAAUGCCUCGAGGCAAACCAACCUAGGUGUAGAAUAUGUGGAGCUUGGAGGCUUAUAUGAGUACUAAGGAAAAGCGAAUAAUCAAAUCAGCAAUGCAAAGUUGAAAAUAUGCUCAAAAAUGCUAGUCCUAGCUGCUUGAGUCAAUAAGAACGAAUUACAGAAAUAAUCUAAGCCUAGAUACUGAAGAAGGGAGGAAUAGAUAGAUCAAAAGAUGGCACAACAAGUAAAUCCCUAGGAUUUUAUUUUCUUUUUUCUUUUCUUUUUGUGGCCUUCUGUUUGGCUUCUUAUUCUUUUCUUCUUCUUUUUUUCUUUUUUUUUAACCCCAGAAACUCACGCAAAAGAAGGACCGGAAAACUGUACGUCGGUCUGUCGAAGAACAGCAAAGGCUGCAGUAAGAAAAAUAUGGAAAAAUAUGGAAAAAACAUGGGUUAGAAGCGUAUCGACACAAACUUUCCAGCAAGGGCAAGAUCACUCAAAACGGAUGUUGGACGGUCGAGAAAACUGAAAAACACCGGGCUGCAGUGACACCGAAAAACGGAUGCAGAAACUUGGAAACUCCGAAAGUCCACCUUACAAACCGAAUUUGAGGGUCAAAGUGCAGGGCAGCCCUGGAUAUUUCCUGAUGCGCCCCGUCGUGAGCUUUCCAAAAAGUGCAAGAACGUCCAAAUCCGAGUUGGUACGCAAAAGAUAAGUCCGUUUUACUGAACACGAGUCAAACCCACCCGAAACUAAAAUUCUACUCGGACUCGGGUCCGAAACUGACUCGAACUCUUUCUCUUCUUUUUUUUUGUUUUUUUUCUUUCUUUCUUUCCUUUUUUUUUCUUUCCCUUCUUUUUUUUUCACAACUUUGCGAACAACUUGAUCUCUAAACAAAAUUCGAUCUAUUAUGAAACACUUUCCAAAAGCACUCUUGAUUGGACUCGGACUCGAACUCGCGGCUGAAAACUAUAACUUGCCGACUCGAUGUAGGACUCGAAGAGGGAGUCGAUGUAGGACUCGACGAGGGACUGGGUGUAGGACUCGAAGAGGGACUCAGUGGAAGAUAUGGUGGCGGCGGAAGAUUAUGGCGGUGGUGUGGCAGGAAGUUUGGCGGCGGAAGAUUGAUGGAAAGCCUGCGUCACACGAAAUCAAAAGACAAAAACAAGUUCGAUCUAGUAGAAAAAAUCUGAAAAACGAUCCAAUCUAAUCCAGCAACUCGACACGAUUAAUGCAGUAAAGAUUCAACAAUGCAAAACUAAUGUGAAAAUUGCAAGGCUCAGAUUGGUUCUAGGACAAGGUAACUAAUAUAAAAAACAAAUUUGGCUUUUUCUUGACGAUAGGUAAAAAAGAGUUCUAAGCUAGGGAUAAAUUGAAAGAUCUCACCGAGCAACCUUAAGCUCUGAUACCACGUGAUAGCCUCGAGGGUGUCCCGAUCUUUCGAUGAGAUACCUAAUUAUCGAUUUGGUAGGAGGUGACGUUGACGAUCCAACUACAACCUAGGAGGCAGCGCCUUAGCGAUCGAUACACCAACUCCAGAAGGUUAUUGAUCCCGCGGGGGCACGAUCAACCUGACCACGAAGGUCUUUGUUCCUGCAAGCAAUCGAAGAACAAGCAAGAACAAGAUGAAAAGCAAUCUGAAAUUGCGAAUAGGAGAUA
RNAcentral lists this long non-coding RNA (2164 nucleotides) under Brachypodium distachyon (stiff brome). RNAcentral's name for it is "long non-coding RNA (BDIS_LNC004683)". The record is from RNAcentral. Lineage: Eukaryota; Viridiplantae; Streptophyta; Magnoliopsida; Poales; Poaceae.